This 64-nucleotide ribosomal RNA is filed under the name Lodderomyces parapsilosis. Its description in RNAcentral is "Candida parapsilosis partial 28S ribosomal RNA". It matches the Rfam family "Eukaryotic large subunit ribosomal RNA", at positions 1 to 62 of the family's 3401-position model. Lineage: Eukaryota; Fungi; Ascomycota; Pichiomycetes; Serinales; Debaryomycetaceae. The record is from RNAcentral.
UUCGACCUCAAAUCAGGUAGGACUACCCGCUGAACUUAAGCAUAUCAAUAAGCGGAGGAAUAGG